GGGUAUGACAAUUUAAUAUAGUAUCAGAGUAUAAGUAGAUAAACUAUGACAUAUAGAAUGAGUGUAGGUGGGUAGAUACUAGGGAUAUCGGGGUAUAGAUUUAUGAUGGUUGCAGUAUAAGUAAUCUUCAUGAUUUUUGACUCAAUCCUAUAAUUAUGAAUGAAAAGAUCACCUUGGAAUAAUGAUUUAGAGGGUUUGAUAUAGAGGGACU
Molecule: long non-coding RNA, 211 nt
Filed under: Elaeis guineensis (African oil palm)
Lineage: Eukaryota; Viridiplantae; Streptophyta; Magnoliopsida; Arecales; Arecaceae
Description: long non-coding RNA (EGUI_LNC027371)
Source: RNAcentral